AUGGAUCAUUAAAAGUAUUUAUACUUCUACACAAGUGAACUCUUUCUAACCUGAGAUUUUGGGGAUUCAAGACGCCUCGGGCGACUUGUUUCUUUCUAUCUCCUUUUAACUAUUCUAACUCUUUGCAUCUAUUGAAUCGAUAAGUUCACCGAAAGGUGCACUUAAUUUCUAUGUAAUUUCUGAACAACUCUUAACAACGGAUAUCUUGGCUCCC
Molecule: unclassified non-coding RNA, 214 nt
Filed under: uncultured fungus
Lineage: Eukaryota; Fungi
Description: partial contains 5.8S ribosomal RNA, internal transcribed spacer 2, and large subunit ribosomal RNA
Source: RNAcentral